AGCGAUUUACUUCGGUAAAGAGCGGCGGACGGGUGAGUAACGCGUGGGUAACCUACCCUGUACACACGGAUAACAUACCGAAAGGUAUGCUAAUACGGGAUAAUAUAUUUGAGAGGCAUCUCUUGAAUAUCAAAGGUGAGCCAGUACAGGAUGGACCCGCGUCUGAUUAGCUAGUUGGUAAGGUAACGGCUUACCAAGGCGACGAUCAGUAGCCGACCUGAGAGGGUGAUCGGCCACAUUGGAACUGAGACACGGUCCAAACUCCUACGGGAGGCAGCAGUGGGGAAUAUUGCACAAUGGGCGAAAGCCUGAUGCAGCAACGCCGCGUGAGUGAUGAAGGCCUUCGGGUCGUAAAACUCUGUCCUCAAGGAAGAUAAUGACGGUACUUGAGGAGGAAGCCCCGGCUAACUACGUGCCAGCAGCCGCGGUAAUACGUAGGGGGCUAGCGUUAUCCGGAUUUACUGGGCGUAAAGGGUGCGUAGGCGGUCUUUCAAGUCAGGAGUGAAAGGCUACGGCUCAACCGUAGUAAGCUCUUGAAACUGGGAGACUUGAGUGCAG
RNAcentral lists this ribosomal RNA (558 nucleotides) under Clostridioides difficile. RNAcentral describes it as "bacterial SSU rRNA". It matches the Rfam family "Bacterial small subunit ribosomal RNA", at positions 65 to 651 of the family's 1533-position model. The record is from RNAcentral. Lineage: Bacteria; Bacillati; Bacillota; Clostridia; Peptostreptococcales; Peptostreptococcaceae.